RNAcentral lists this ribosomal RNA (422 nucleotides) under uncultured bacterium. Its description in RNAcentral is "bacterial SSU rRNA". It matches the Rfam family "Bacterial small subunit ribosomal RNA", at positions 362 to 776 of the family's 1533-position model. The record is from RNAcentral.
UUUUGGACAAUGGGCGCAAGCCUGAUCCAGCCAUGCCGCGUGCAGGAUGAAGGCCUUCGGGUUGUAAACUGCUUUUGUACGGAACGAAAAGACUCUUUCUAAUAAAGAGGGUCCAUGACGGUACCGUAAGAAUAAGCACCGGCUAACUACGUGCCAGCAGCCGCGGUAAUACGUAGGGUGCAAGCGUUAAUCGGAAUUACUGGGCGUAAAGCGUGCGCAGGCGGUGAUGUAAGACAGAUGUGAAAUCCCCGGGCUCAACCUGGGAACUGCAUUUGUGACUGCAUCGCUGGAGUGCGGCAGAGGGGGAUGGAAUUCCGCGUGUAGCAGUGAAAUGCGUAGAUAUGCGGAGGAACACCGAUGGCGAAGGCAAUCCCCUGGGCCUGCACUGACGCUCAUGCACGAAAGCGUGGGGAGCAAACAGG